CCCUUAGAUGUCCUGGGCUGCACGCGCGCUACACUGAUGUGUCCAGUAAGCACCUAACCUCUUCCGAAAGGAACGGGUAACCUUUGCAAAGCACAUCGUGAUGGGGAUAGAUUAUUGCAAUUAUUAGUCUUGAACGAGGAAUUCCUAGUAAGCACAAGUCAUCAGCUUGUGUUGAUUACGUCCCUGCCCUUUGUACACACCGCCCGUCGCUCCUACCGAUUGAAUGUUCCGGUGAGCUCUUCGGACUGCGCGGUCUGCAGUUUCUGCGUUCCGUGCGGAAAGAUGCGCAAACCUUAACAUUUAGAGGAAGGAGAAGUCGUAACA
Molecule: ribosomal RNA, 324 nt
Filed under: uncultured eukaryote
Lineage: Eukaryota
Description: partial 18S ribosomal RNA
Rfam family: Eukaryotic small subunit ribosomal RNA
Source: RNAcentral